GACGAACGCUGGCGGCAUGCUUAACACAUGCAAGUCGAACGGAAAGGCCCUGCUUUUGUGGUGUGCUCGAGUGGCGAACGGGUGAGUAACACGUGAGUAACCUGCCCUUGACUUUGGGAUAACUUCAGGAAACUGGGGCUAAUACCGUAUAGGAUCCCCUGCUGCAGUGUGGGCGGUGGAAAUUUGCGGCGGUUGGGGAUGGACGCGCGGCUUAUCAGCUUGUUGGUGGGGUAGUGGCUUACCCAGGGUUUGACGGGUAGCCGGCAUGAGAGGGUGACCGGCGACAAUGGGACUGAGAUACGGCCCAGACGCCAACGGGAGGCAGCAGUGGGGAAUAUUGCACAAUGGGCGGAAGCCUGAUGCAGAGACGCCGCGUGCGGGAUGACGGCCUUCGGGUUGUAAACCGCUUUCGCCUGUGACGAAGCGUGAGUGACGGUAAUGGGUAAAGAAGCACCGGCUAACUACGUG
Molecule: ribosomal RNA, 468 nt
Filed under: uncultured bacterium
Lineage: Bacteria
Description: partial 16S ribosomal RNA
Rfam family: Bacterial small subunit ribosomal RNA
Source: RNAcentral